GAAUAUCCCUUUAAAUCAAACUUCAAACAUGCACGUUAGCAAUAUACAGAAUAUUUUAAUUACAUUUCAUGUUAAUCAUUAUUGUUUACUUAACAAUGAUUGUUGGUCACUGAUUUAAAAAAAUGUCUUUAAUAGGUUUCCUGUCCAUUGUGUGAUAAGAAUUUACUCAGGAGUCUAUACAAUUGCAUGCCAGCUUUUGUGGUGAAGGAGGAAGAGGACAGGUGCAUGUUUUUACCCAUGCACGUUGUACACAAUAUGUUAUGAGAGUUUAAUCUUUUUUUUUUUGUUUGUUUCCACAUCUGAACAGCAUCAUACUGGAUGUGGAUGACUCUUCCAAGCACUUAAUCUGGUUAGAAUUUUUACAAAUAUUUGUGUUAAUGUGUAGGUUUUAAAAUAAAUAAUAAUAAACACAAUGUUGUUGUCAAUAGCUUAUCAGACAUCCUGAAGUUCCUACAAGAAAGAGUUGACAACACUAAAACCUUUAACAUUAAUGUGACAAGGGACGACCUUUACCAGAGAGGUCUGAAACAGCGGGCCAGACAGAAGCAGGCUUCCCACAAAAACCAGCUAAUUGUUUCCUUUAUUGGAGAACACGACAUUGAUGAAGGAGCACUACGCCGAGAGUUCCUAACUGGAUCUGUGGGGAGAUCAUUGCCACCAGCUUGGUUCAAGCAGGACCAGCACCGAAUUUCUUUUCUACUUGGUCUUACCAUUUCUUGCGUCAUGGACAAAUAACAAAUGAAGAUGUGCCAGAGGUGACUGAUACGGCAAUCCAGAACCUGAUUCAGGAGGUAAAUUAAACAGAAUAAUUUAUUUUCUGUAAAUUGUACUAACAAGUGUUUCUGAUUGAAGGUCGAACGUGCCGAAGAAGACGCACUGACAGACCUUUCUGAUGCCAUUGUAGCAUGUGGCUACACUGGUCAAUUCACAGCAAUUGCAAAAAGGCCAUCAUUGAGGCCAUCAGUUUGCAUUCGGUGAUGAGACUCAUACCGAUGCUAAGUCAGCUUAGAGAAGGACUGGCCAUCUAGGGUUUGGAUGAGCUGUUGCCACAACACCACCAGGCACUUCAGCCCCUCUUUCUUCCUGGGAACCUUAAACAGGUGGAUGCAGACUUCGUUGUGGAGGCACUGGCUCCUCAGUACAGUGACAAUGGAUCAGUAAGACACAAAGGAAGUGGACAUGAUCAACUUUUUGCAGGACCUCUUGCAAAACCUGGAAGAAGGAGGAACAGAUGACCAAGAUGGGAGCCCAUCAGAUGGCUGUGGAGCAAAGCAGUUGUCAGUGCAAGGAUUUUUUUCAGUGGGUUUCAGGCCAGGCACAUGUGCCACUAACAGACACAGAAAGAGAAUU
Molecule: non-coding RNA, 1350 nt
Organism: Nothobranchius furzeri (turquoise killifish)
Lineage: Eukaryota; Metazoa; Chordata; Actinopteri; Cyprinodontiformes; Nothobranchiidae
Source: RefSeq, a predicted model, not a curated record